UACGGAGGGAGCUAGCGUUGUUCGGAAUUACUGGGCGGAAAGCGCGCGUAGGCGGCUUUGUAAGUUAGAGGUGAAAGCCCGGGGCUCAACUCCGGAACUGCCUUUAAGACUGCAUCGCUUGAAUCCGGGAGAGGUGAGUGGAAUUCCGAGUGUAGAGGUGAAAUUCGUAGAUAUUCGGAAGAACACCAGUGGCGAAGGCGGCUCACUGGACCGGUAUUGACGCUGAGGUGCGAAAGCGUGGGGAGCAAACAGG
Molecule: ribosomal RNA, 253 nt
Filed under: uncultured bacterium
Lineage: Bacteria
Description: partial 16S ribosomal RNA
Rfam family: Bacterial small subunit ribosomal RNA
Source: RNAcentral